UACGAGUGCCCCGAGCGUUAUCCGGAAUCAUUGGGCGUAAAGCGCACGUAGGCGGCCUCGCAAGUUGGAUGUGAAAUCCCUCGGCUCAACCGAGGACGUGCAUCCAAAACUGCGGGGCUUGAGUACUGAAGAGGAUCGCGGAAUUCCCGGUGUAGAGGUGAAAUUCGUAGAUAUCGGGAGGAACACCGGUGGCGAAGGCGGCGAUCUGGGCAGAUACUGACGCUGAGGUGCGAAAGCGUGGGGAGCAAACAGG
This 253-nucleotide ribosomal RNA is filed under the name uncultured bacterium. RNAcentral describes it as "partial 16S ribosomal RNA". It matches the Rfam family "Bacterial small subunit ribosomal RNA", at positions 524 to 776 of the family's 1533-position model. The record is from RNAcentral.